This 7568-nucleotide long non-coding RNA is filed under the name Panax ginseng (ginseng). RNAcentral describes it as "long non-coding RNA (PGIN_LNC016001)". Lineage: Eukaryota; Viridiplantae; Streptophyta; Magnoliopsida; Apiales; Araliaceae. The record is from RNAcentral.
UAAUUCAUACAAGUAGUUAAAAGCACAAAGAGAGAUUUAAGUUCGUCAUAGAAAUACAAGUCAUCUGGCCAACUGCCUUUCCAACAUUACAGAACCUAUAUCAUGGUAUCAUCUACUGCUAUGUCAUUCUGAAGAAGCACAAAAUCUAACCGGCUGUCUUGCCAAUCAAUGGGUUUUUGAAACAAGAACUCACCAAGACAUGAAUGGGGUUUAUUUGAUUGUAUUUCCUCGUACAGCAUGAAGAUAAAAUAAUCCACCUGGCAAGACAAAAAACAAAAUACUUCAACCAAUGAAGUUUCACCAUGUUGUGUUGCAAGGAAAAAUGAACACACUAAUAUCACUACAGAUUUCAAUGUGCAGUGCUGUCAGCUGUGCCAUGUGUGUGUGUGUACACGCAUGCAUGCAUGUAUAAAGGGGAGAGAGAGAGAUUAGCACCUUCUUUCUUUUACUUGUUACAAAAUGCCAAAUAUGUAAACCAGAAUCUCAAAUAGGCAAGACUACCAAAAUAACCAUCUAGACUUGCAAUGAACAAUGAAAUAAGGGUAAAAGUUAUCUAUUAGCAAAAGCCAUGAGUUUUCAUACGUAGAAAAACAUGAACACAACAAGGCCAUGUAAGAAGGGAUAUAGGAUAACAAAGAAACUAACAAAACCCUGAACCAAAUGAUUAUCAAUGAGCAAGGGGUUAAAUGCUUAUUUAGUCACUGUACUAUAGGUCAACUUAUAAGUGAGUCACUAAACCGAUUUUUCUUACAGUCAACUCACUAUACUCGAUUUUACUAACAAAAAAUUAAAAAAACCGUUUAAGUCAAGCUUGACUUAACGGAAAUGGCGACGUGGCAGCUGAUUUGUCCAAAAUAAAGUCUAUGUGGCAGUUAGCAUGCGACGUGGCAGUUAUGAUGUGGAUUUGGAGGAAUUUUUUUAUGAAAAAAUGGAAAAAAAUAUUUUAAAGUAUAAUAUAAAUUAUAAAAAUUAGCAAAAAAACAAGAAAAUAAAAAAAUAAAAAAACUCCGUUUUUUAUUUAUUAAAAAAGCUUCGUUUUUUAUUUAUUAAAAAUAAAAAAACAAGAAAAUAAAUAAUAAAAAAAAAUUAUUAAAAAAGCUUCGUUUUUUAUUUAUUAAAAAAGCUUCGUUUUUAUUUAAUUAAAUAAAAAUGAAGUUUUUUAAUAAUUUUUAAUAAUAAAAAUUCAGUUUUUUUAAUAAAAAUAAUAAAAAACACAUUUUUUAAAAAAAAAUUCAGCUUUUUUUUUAAUAAAGAAAUUUCUGUUUUUUUAUUUUUUUUAAUAAAAAAUAAAAAAAGAUUAUUUUUAUUAAAAAAACGAAGCUUUUUUAAUAAUUCUUUUUUAUUAUUAAAAAAAUUAAAACGCAUUUUUUUAAUAAAAAUAAUCUUUUUUUUAUUUUUAUUAAAAAAAAUAAAAAAACAGAAAUUUCUUUAUUAAAAAAAAAGCUGAUUUUUUUUUAAAAAAUGUGUUUUUUAUUAAAAAAAAACUGAAUUUUUUUUAUUAUAAAAAAGCUGCAAUUUUUUAUAAUAAAUGCAUUUUUUUUAUUAAAAAAAAAUAAAAAUAUUAAUUUUAAAACUGUUAAAAAUAUUAAAAUCUCUUAAUUAAAUUUUUUUAAAAUUAAUCUGUUAAUUUUUUUUAUUUUAAAAAAACUGCGCUUUUUUAUUUUUAAUAAAAAAACUGCAUUUUUUUUAUUUUUAUUAAAAAAAUUGCAUUUUUAUUUUAAAAAAACUAUUACCUAUUUUUUUUAAUUUUUAUUAAAAAAACUGUAUUUUUUAAUAAAAAAAUGCAGUUUUUUAAAUUAAAAUAAAAAAAAUGCAGUUUUUUUUAAUAAAAAUAAAAAAAAUGCAAUUUUUUUAAUAAAAAUAAAAAAAUAUUUUUUAAAAAAAUUAACAGAUUAAUUUUAAAAUAUUUUUAAUUAAGAGAUUUUAAUAUUUUUUACAGUUUUAAAAUUAAUUUUUUUUAUUUAUUUUUAAUAAAAAUAAAAAAAUAUUUUUAAUAAAAAAAUGCAGCUUUUUUAUAAUAAAAAAAAUUCAGUUUUUUUUAAUAAAAAUAAUAAAAAACACAUUUUUUUUUAAAAAUCAGUUUUUUUUAAUAAAAAAAUUUCAGCUGCGUUUUUUUAUUUAAUUUUUAUAAAAAAACACUACGCUUUUUAAUUUUUAUUAAAAAUACUUAUUUUUAUUUAUUUAUUUAUUUUCUUAUUUUUUUUGCUAAUUUUUAUAAUUUAUAUUAUACUUUAAAAUAUUUUUUUUCAUUUUUUCAUAAAAAAUUUCCUCCAAAUCCACAUCAUAACUGCCACGUCGCAUGCUAACUGCCACAUAGACUUUAUUUUGGACAAAUCAGCUACCACGUCGCCAUUUUCGUUAAGUCAAACUUAACUUAAAGGUUUUUUUAAUUUUUUGUUAAUAAAAUCGAGUAUAGUGAGUUGACUGUAAGAAAAAUCGAUUUAGUGACUCACUUGUAAGUUGGCCUAUAAUACAAUGACUAAAUAAGCAUUUAACCCAAUGAGCAAGAAUAGAAUAAAUCAUUAAAGCGACUAAAGUAAUUUUUGUUUAAAAAGUUUCAAGCAUUGGCAUCAAGGUUUAGAAUCUAAAAAUUUAGGUAACCUUCAUUAUGAUAGUGAUGAAACUUGCACAAUUGUAAAUAUGAUUUAAAAUUUUAAUUUGGGGUUUAGUUGCAUAAUCAAUUGGCAAUAUUUUUUGAAUUCAAAAAAGAAUAUAUUGAAGUUGCUCAAUACAUUUAAAGUACAUUCAUAAAACAUUCUUGAUGUAAGGUCGUCAGGACCUUGAUGUUUUAAAGCACAUUCAUAGAACACCCUUGAUGGAACUAUGUAUUAAAAGAAGUGGAGUUUGUGGUAUCAAUUUCACUUUUCACCUCCAAAAGCAUUAAUGUAGGAGACACUUGUCCUGAGAAUAGGACUAGCCACUAAUUCAUCUCUCCACCGUUGGCCAUAUAUUUUAGAAAACCUUCCAUAUUUCCUCCCACAGGGCCACCUGCUAUGGUCAUUAGCAACAGUUUCCCUAAUCAACUCUCUAUCCUCAAUUUUGAAAAAUACAUCAACAAAUUUAUCCUUAUUUGACUCUCUAUUUUAAUCCAUAUAUAAAAUUUUACUCUCCAGUGUGAGGAAAUGAAAAGACCGCUCUCUAUAUAUACAAAAUAACAUUUCACACCCUCAUUUAAAUGGACAACUCGUCAAUCAUACACAUCUUUGACAUUUUUUUUACUACAUUUUCAAAUUAUAAACUUAAUAUUGAAUUUUAAAAAAAAUUAAUUUCAAACGUAUUCAAAUUUAAAAUUGAUAUAAAUUUAUUUAAUUUAUGUCAAUAUAAUUAUAAAUAUUAUAAAAGUACUAUUAAUUAUAAAUUUUAUUAUUUUCAAAAUUUAAAUGAAUCAUAUUAAAUUUUAAUUUAAAAAUAUCACAAAUUAACUUUUUAAAUUUUAAUAUUGAUCUUAUGUACAUUUGCAACUACAAUCUAUUCAAUACUUACUCCAUAAAUUACUUAAAAUUUAAAAUAAAAUAAAAAUUAUUUUACAGUGGGAUAUAAUUGAUAAAUAAUCUCUCUUUUAAUUAUAAAUUAUAAGAUUAUUAUUAAUUUAAUGUUUUGACUGUUGAAACUUUUAAAUUUUAAAUUUCAUUAUUUAAAGAAUCAAUAUAAGGAACAUGUUGGGUACAUAGUGAAAAAAUUGAAUCCCUAUUUUGCAGAAUGACAUAAUAACACUGCAAAGUAAGAAUACAAAUAAAGAAACUGUUGUAAAUGCUCUAAGAAGAAUUGUUUAGCCAGUAAAGGCUAUAUGCUUCAUGUCCAUAGCAAUUUGGUAAAUGUUGAUAGUAUGGUAGUUAGAAACUCUCAAUGCCAUUAUAACGAGAUGGUUCACCAAUAUCCAAAUUUCCAAAAUAUUUGCAUAACAAUAUAUUUGUAGUUUUUAGAUCCACUUUAUAGAUUACCCAUUAGUUAGUUAUAGCUCCACGCAAUGGACUAUAUGAUCAGAGAGGUAAGACAAGGGUCUUUAUGGCAGAUAUUUGCGCACAGACCUUACCUCACCUAUAGUAUUCUUAUGCCUAACUCUUUCAAAAGGAUCUUCAUUCUCAUAAACAUCAAAAACGUACCUAGCUCAAGCUCUAUCACAAUAGGUUAUAUCUACCACAGGAUUCUCCUGCAGUCUAUCACUACCCAAAAAUGUGAUGCAACCUCCAUAAAAAUAACACCCAUCCAUGUCAUUAGCAAUUGAAAAACUAUUAUCACUUACAUCCGGAACCAUUAACCAAUAAAUUUCAUUUCUGAUAUUCAGAGGCAAAUACCAAAACCGCACCACUCCCUGUUUAAGUUUUUUGCACCAAAACUGCACCGGCGAGAACAACGGUUCGGGUAAACACCGGCCAGUUCAAUGCGGUUCAACCAGUUUCGGAUUAAGUUGUGUUUAAAUUGUCAUCCCUUGAGGAUGGCAACAUGCAGAAUAAACUACAUGGUGGCUGAAUACUGUCGUAUUUCCCAACUACAUAUAAGACACUGCAGUUCGGGCUCGAGGAAAGAUAACCUAUUGAUAACCACUAAUGCAAAAUUUUGUGAAUCAUUUUACUGUUAGUUGGACAAUGGAAUCCUUAUACUGUUUACCAAGCCAAAUGACCUCAAAGAAAAUUAAUAAAAAAAAAUCAAUUACAAAAAUGUAAAACUCAGACACAAACAAUAAAUUAAUAUGCAGCACUUCCCUGGCCCCCUAAUUUGUUACCAAAUUUGAACAACACUGAUCCCAUAAAACGACCUUCCUUAAGAAAGGGUAGAUUCUGUUUUUUCAACUUAAAAUUUGACUUGUAAUAUGUUUUAAAUUUAAGAACAUCAAACUUUGAGAGCAGUAGAAUUUAGCUGCCAUUUAGGGGGCAUUUAGGGAGGGGGCUAAACUUAAUUUCUAUCCAAAACCCCUUCACUUUCCGGGUUUUACCACUUUUCCCAAAAAAAUAUUCAACUUCUCAAACAAUUAGUAAUACCCAUCUUAAAACUAAUAUAUUGCUCCAAAAUUUAGUCUCUUGAGGCUUUAAAAAAGGAACCCACCUGAUAUGAAUGGAAUGAGCAAAAGAUUUUAUUCCUUCAAUAAGAAAUAAAGCUCUAAUUCCCAACUUCCACCGUCUAUAGACGGCAUCAAAUAAAAUAAGCAUAUUCAAGUUCAUGAUACACGAAGGGAAAGUAACAUCACAUAAAGUAGAGGAACCAGCAGACCAACAGAACCAGCAGACCAGCAGCCACGACGAGCAACCACCGAAAAAAGAGGGAUUUUUAAAUAACAAACCCUAGAUUUUCAAAUGCAUGAAAAAUAAUUUACAAACCCAAUUAAGUUAUGGAGCUUUACCUUCCGAUCCGUUUGACUCUGCUUCGCGGAGACCUUCCGAUGAGCUCUUCCGUCUGCUACUUUAUCUUGUGAGAGAGGGAAGAAAGAAGGUGGAGAGAGAAAGUAGUAUCAGUGAUCUGAGCUCUGGUUUUAGACUAAAGAAUGAAACACGCGUGUUUUUUCUCCAUCUUGACCCGUACGCUCAACCCGCGUGGUUUUUUACCCAAUUCGUCAUUAGUCCGUCAGUUUAGUUCGCUGGAGAAGGAUGUUGUAUAAAUAUAUAGAGAGAGGCGAUCAUUUAGAGAGAGGAGAGAGAUCUAGAGAGUGGUGGCGGCAAUGCAGGGAGAGAUUGGCGGCGAAAAUGGGAAGCAGAACUCUCUCCGAUGUCGUCCGUCGUAUGUUUCAGCGUCGAUAUUCCGCCACCACCGUUAGCCGAAGUAGAAGAAGAAACGACACCGUUAAACAGGAUAAAAAAGAAGGAUCAGAAUUUCACAUUUCUGGUCUAAAGCUCAUCCAAGUUCCUGAAAGAACAAUUUUCAAACUCGUCUCCACCGACACUCAUAAAUUGGUCCGAAAGUCAAUUCUCUCUCCUCUGUAUAAACUGUUCGGUGGAGAUAAGAAGAUAAGGCUCGCGUUUUUAGACGACGUGACCUCAUCAUUUUUUCUAUCAUUUUUUUAUUUCUUAAACUAUAUAUACACAUAUUUAUAUAUAAUGACUUAAUUCCUGUAUCAUUCAAUUCAAUCUUAAACUAUGUUAACUCUCAUUAUUAUCUAGCUGUAAUCACUUAAUUAGACUGAGUAUGCCCCCCAUUAUUUAGAUAGAUAUUUGACUUGAUCUGAGAUAUGUUACACUAUAUAGAGAAUAUAGAAUAUAGAACAUAGAUAGAACAUAGACCAUAAACCAGAACAUCGAAUAUAGAAUAUAUAGAUGUGUAUGUGCAUAUGUAUUCAAACUUAGAUUUUGAUUGGCUGGUUGCUGUUCUUCUUGCUUUGAUCUCUGAAAGCGUUUGGGGAGGACUAACCUCAAACGGUUUCGUUUUCCCUGCAAAUUGUUUUCAAAGAGCAAGAAGAUAUCUUUCUUAAUUUUGUUUGGAUUGAACGUUCAAGUUCUUAAUGGGUGUGCAAGUUUUUCAUUGUUUUAGCCUAAUUUCAUCAUAGUUACUCAUCACAGAUCAUCUAAAUUGUGUACAAACUUUCCCACUGCUCAGUUUUAGUUUUAACCAAGUAUUAGCAUACUGUUAGUACAUUUGUUAGCCUAGCUUCCUUGUGUACUCAUUUACUCCAUUAAUCCUUGCUAAGCCAAGUGCUAGUCAGGUUUAAACUCCAUUGAAACUCGAGCCCACAAAUUGUUCUCGUGUAAGGAUCAAUUCACACCACCAAAAAACACUCUAGCUCAUUUACUAAGAAUAUCAAGUAGUGUCACUACUGGAUAAAGUUUGCAAUUCUAAUUCUCAAUAAUUCUAGGAAUUCCUUCUACACAUACAAAUAGUAGUGAUGGCUUGGCAAAAAAAAAAUUAAUGAAAAUAAGAGAUUAAUCAGAAAGCCAAAUCGGAUUAAUGAAAAUAAAAGAUUAAUGAAAAUAAGAGAUUCCUUCUAUACAUACCUAGUCCAGGUUCCCAAAAAAAAUUAAUGAAAGCCAAAUCGGAACCAAGGAAGAGAUUCAGAAUGACCAAAAAUAAGAGACGCGUCAUUAAAAAAUAUUUUCAAAUAGCAAUUAACAAAAUUUCUGUUGCUAUAUACUCUCGAGGAAAAUCAAGUCAGAUUUACUUAUAAAAAAAUCAAAUCAAAUCAUAUUUAUGAAGUGUUCAAUUCAAAACUCAAAAUUAAGAAAACAACAGACAUAUAGAAUAUAACAUGAAUAAAUCGAUCUAUGUAAUACAGUUAGGAUGCAUGGGAUCGAUAAUUGAAAGAGAGAUAGAAGACGAACUUGCUUACUCUACUUUUGAGGGGCAAAAAUUAGGGCAAGCCGUCGCGACGGAUUUGGGGCAAAAAUUAGGGCAAUCCAUGGUUUUGAGAUUUGGGGCAAGUGAACGCCUAAGAUCGUGAGAAGCGAGGGAAAGAGAGAUCGGGAGAGCGAGAGAGGAGAGCUUGGGGUGAUAAAUCGUGAGAAGCUGAAGAUCGGAAGAGCGAGAGAGGAGAGCUUGGGGUGAGCGAGAUAGAUUUCAGAAGGAAAUGACUGAACAGGAGCCCAACCCCAAGUUCGUGUAAAUGUGAGGAGAGAAAAAAAGAAAUACUGUAGGUUUUUAUAGGU